UUCCGGUUGAUCCUGCCGGACCUGACUGCUAUCGGAUUGAUACUAAGCCAUGCGAGUCAUUGUAGCAAUACAAGGCAGACGGCUCAGUAACGCGUAGUCAACCUAACCUAUGGACGGGAAUAACCUCGGGAAACUGAGAAUAAUGCCCGAUAGAACACUAUAUCUGGAAUGGUUUGUGUUCCAAAUGAUUUAUCGCCGUAGGAUGGGACUGCGGCCUAUCAGUUUGUUGGUGAGGUAAUGGCCCACCAAGACUAUUACAGGUACGGGCUCUGAGAGGAGUAGCCCGGAGAUGGGUACUGAGACACGGACCCAGGCCCUAUGGGGCGCAGCAGGCGAGAAAACUUUGCAAUGUGCGAAAGCACGACAAGGUUAAUCCGAGUGGUUUCUGCUAAAGGAACCUUUUGUCGGUCCUAGAAACACCGAUGAAUAAGGGGUGGGCAAGUUCUGGUGUCAGCCGCCGCGGUAAAACCAGCACCUCAAGUGGUCAGGAUGAUUAUUGGGCCUAAAGCAUCCGUAGCCUGCUUUGUUAGUUUUCGGUUAAAUCUAUACGCUCAACGUAUAGGCUGCCGGGAAUACUGCAAAGCUAGGGAGUGGGAGAGGUAGACGGUACUCGGUAGGAGGGGUAAAAUCCUUUGAUCUAUUGAUGACCACCUGUGGCGAAGGCGGCCUACCAGAACACGUCCGACGGUGAGGGAUGAAAGCUGGGGGAGCAAACCGGAUUAGAUACCCGGGUAGUCCCAGCCGUAAACCAUGCAAACUCAGUGAUGCAUUGGCUUGUGGCCAAUGCAGUGCUGCAGGGAAGCCGUUAAGUUUGCCGCCUGGGAAGUACGUACGCAAGUAUGAAACUUAAAGGAAUUGGCGGGGGAGCACCACAAGGGGUGAAGCCUGCGGUUCAAUUGGAGUCAACGCCGGG
This 913-nucleotide ribosomal RNA is filed under the name uncultured archaeon. RNAcentral describes it as "bacterial SSU rRNA". It matches the Rfam family "Archaeal small subunit ribosomal RNA", at positions 1 to 922 of the family's 1478-position model. The record is from RNAcentral.